AGUGAACGCUGGCGGUAGGCCUAACACAUGCAAGUCGAACGGCAGCACAGUAAGAGCUUGCUCUUACGGGUGGCGAGUGGCGGACGGGUGAGGAAUACAUCGGAAUCUACUUUUUCGUGGGGGAUAACGUAGGGAAACUUACGCUAAUACCUCAUACGACCUACGGGUGAAAGCAGGGGAUCUUCGGACCUUGCGCGACUGAAUGAGCCGAUGUCGGAUUAGCUAGUUGGCGGGGUAAAGGCCCACCAAGGCGACGAUCCGUAGCUGGACUGAGAGGAUGAUCAGCCACACUGGAACUGAGACACGGUCCAGACUCCUACGGGAGGCAGCAGUGGGGAAUAUUGGCCAAUGGGCGCAAGCCUGAUCCAGCCAUACCGCGUGAGUGAAGAAGGCCUUCGGGUUGUAAAGCCCUUUUGUUGGGAAAGAAAAGCAGCAUGUUAAUACCCCGCUGUUCUGACGGUACCCAAAGAAUAAGCACCGGCUAACUUCGUG
This 492-nucleotide ribosomal RNA is filed under the name uncultured bacterium. RNAcentral's name for it is "partial 16S ribosomal RNA". It matches the Rfam family "Bacterial small subunit ribosomal RNA", at positions 29 to 507 of the family's 1533-position model. The record is from RNAcentral.